Long non-coding RNA from Ictalurus punctatus (channel catfish), 1244 nucleotides. NCBI's taxonomy places the organism in Eukaryota, Metazoa, Chordata, Actinopteri, Siluriformes, Ictaluridae. The record is from Ensembl.
GACAGAUCCGAGUCUAAUUGAGUUUUUAAUAUAGACUUUAUGGGGUUGAGAAAGAAAGAAAGAAAGAAAGAAAGAAAGAAAGAAAGAAAGAAAGAAAGAAAGAAUAAACUGAAGUGAAAUGUGAAAGAAAGAAAGAAUAAUGGAAAUAUGAGGAGAAAAGAAAGAAGAAAGAAAAUAAGAAUGAACUGAAAUGAAAUGUGAAAGAACUGAAAGGGAACGUGAAAGAAAGAAAGAAAGAAAGAAAGAAAGAAAGAAAGAAAGAAUAAUGGAAAUAUAAGAGAAAAUAAGGAACUGAAAGGAAAUGUGAAAGACAGAAAGAAAUAUCAGAGCAAAGACUGUAAGAAAGAAAGAAAGAACUAAUAGUGGAUAUGUGAGAAAAUAAAGAAAGAAAGGAAUAAUGGAAAUGAAUAGUAAUAAAGGGAAUGUGAGGGAAAAGAAAGACGGAAAGAACUAGCAGACAAAGUGAUUGAGAAAAUGCGCUAACGCUUUGAUUUUUUAAAUCUCAUGUUCUCCCCGUGUCUAUGAGGGUUUCCUCCGGGUUCCCUGGUUUCCUCCUAAAAACAUGAUUGACAGCCAGUUCGAGGUUGCCCCUAGGUGGGAAUGAGUGUGCGAAUGAGUUUGUGUGCAUGAUGGCGUCCCGUCCAGGGUGUAUUCCCACGUCCCGGUCAGUAUUCCCACCUCCCGGUCAGUAUUCCCACGUCCCGGUCAGUAUUCCCACGUCCCGGUCAGUAUUCCCACGACCGGCACAACAUGGAACGAUAAUUUUUCCAUCCAGACUUGGGAAAGAUUAUAAAGAACAACAAAAACAACAGAAAAUCUGCACAGGAAUCUGAAUGACUGAAAGAAAGCUGAAGCUGAAGCCUCAUGAACUCCAUCACCCUGCCACAUAUUUUUAGCGCGUCUGCUAUGAGGAGUAAAUUGCAGCCGGGAUCACGUACAAACAAAUAAACCCAUCCAUGAUGAGGCUCUGGAAGAACACAAUGCCUUUUAUUUAUGAAAAUCUGCUUUUGUUGUUGAUUUUAAUUUCUGCAAAAGUUAGCUGAAGUGACGAAUCUUCCAACCUCCCCGACCCCCUUCGCAUUUUCUCCUAAAUGCCUGUUCUGUUUCUCUCUGAUAAGUUGCGUUGUUUAAGAAGCAUCCGUAUUCGUUCUGAAACUUCCUUCAAUAGAUGAACUUCAUACCCGGGGGAUUUACUAAACACAAUUCCUCAUCUUGCAUUUCCUAAUCCCUCCUUUUCUUUUCCC